RNAcentral lists this small nuclear RNA (19 nucleotides) under Arabidopsis thaliana (thale cress). RNAcentral's name for it is "snRNA_05330". Lineage: Eukaryota; Viridiplantae; Streptophyta; Magnoliopsida; Brassicales; Brassicaceae. The record is from RNAcentral.
UGCUGCCACGAUCCACUGA